GUGACUCUCCAACAACACUGCAAGCACAGGUGCUGCUUUGUCGUUGAUUGGAGGAACAUUUCACCACCAGUGAAAAUGUCUAUGGAUACCCAGACUGGAGGGACAGAGGGAUAGCCAAAGUCUUCUGGAUUUGGACUGCAGGUAAUCGUUGUUGACUCUGGAGUGUAGUUUUGGCUGUUUGGCAGAAAGCUGGCAUUGAUGCUGAGAGACUGCGCUGUCCAAGCCUGGCCGAGAGAGAGGCCGAGCUGGAAAGUGGCCUGGAUCAAUGGCUGUGGCUCCACACUCUCUCUGUGUGUACAGAAGCUGGGUAAAAUGAGCUGCUCUUGGGCUUCUGAGGAAAGUCUUGCUCAGCCUACCGUCUCUGAUUAAUACUGUCGUUCUGUCUUGAUGUCUACAAAGCUGCUGUCUUUCUUAGUGUGCCCCCUCCUACACUUCCUUUCAGCCUUCACUUUAGUGAAGUGUUUAGUUUAGUAUUUAGCCUAGGGUCUGACCAAAUGAAAAUUUUAUGAUUAGAUUAAAUAGAAAAUAAACAUCAAACAUCAGUAUUUAGUUUGUCCUCUCUUUACCUUUACUACAGUUUUCCUUCUUUUCAGAAGUCUGAAUUUCAGUUUUUCACAGGAGUCUGCAGGGAUGUUUUUCCACACCUCUAAAGUUCAGUCUUAGAAGUUGGGUGCAUUUUGUAUUUUCUGCUUCUAACAAUCCAAGUAAUCCCAAACUGGACUCUGGGGUGGUCAGUCCAUUGUUGUAUGAAUACCAGCACCUUCUUUGUUUGAUUUGCACUUUUUUUGUCCAUUUUCUUUUCUCAUUAAUGUCUUCUGGAUGGCUACAUAUCCUUUUAGACUCACAGUGUUGAGUUGCAAUAAUAAAGAAAAACAAACAGAUGAAGAACGUCUUGCAAUAUAAGUAAUGCACAAUUCAUGUGCAAAUGUGAAGACUUUGAUGUGAUUACCAACAACGGAACUGAGUUGUGCUGCAGUCUCCACUCAUUAGUGCUUUUUGUAAGCUCAACACAACGAUGUUGAGCACUUCAGUGAACAUCAAUGAAUGUGGGUCAGAUGUCUGUGAGGUCUUUAUGCUUUUGUGAUUUUAGCUUGCAGCAUUUAU
This is a long non-coding RNA of Colossoma macropomum (tambaqui), 1104 nucleotides long. RefSeq lists it as uncharacterized. NCBI's taxonomy places the organism in Eukaryota, Metazoa, Chordata, Actinopteri, Characiformes, Serrasalmidae. The record is from RefSeq and is a predicted model, not a curated record. The transcript is spliced from 3 exons.